GUAGUUUGACUACGCACCAACUAGCAUGGCUAUUGAAGAUCCUUUAUUCCCUCUGUACUGGAGUAUGUAGCACAUAAUGUACUGUUCUAGCAUUGUAGUCAGUUUUAUGUUAUAUUGUGUAGUUUAGAUAGUGAAUGAUGAAGUCCGCAUUUAGCUUAGCAAUGACCAUAAUAGUUUCUAUUCUUUCCAAGGUCAUGUUCAUCCAACUUUAGUAAGCGCUUCAAGACAGAUAUCCAGCUGAUGGUGCAAAUGACUUAUUAAGUCGGAUAUCUAGGAAAUCGGAUAAGUUUCAUGCGAUGCCUCUUCUGACCGUAGGUCUUAGAGUAGGAUGGCAAGAAACUUUUUCUUAUUGCACCUAAGGUUAGCGAUGUGUUGCGACAUCAGACUUCACAAUCCAAGUACCUUUCCUGUGUUUUAUGGUUUAGUAUUUCAAGUUUGGCUAAAGCAACCUAAGUAGAGUUUGAUAACCAGCACUCUAUGUUGACUUGUGCACGAAGAAGCUAGGUUUUUUUUUAAAAGGAGGAAGACCCCCGGCCUCUGCAUCUGAGCGAUGCUGCCAUUUUAUUAAUUAUUCACAAAGACCUUACAAAGUAAUACUACAUCAGUAAGACUGAAGCCACC
This 621-nucleotide long non-coding RNA is filed under the name Hordeum vulgare. Its description in RNAcentral is "long non-coding RNA (HVUL_LNC016875)". Lineage: Eukaryota; Viridiplantae; Streptophyta; Magnoliopsida; Poales; Poaceae. The record is from RNAcentral.